GAGGGACCCCAAAGCCAGGUCUGGAAAAGGGGGGUGGGUUGGGUGGUGGGGGUGCAGCCCCCAAAGAAAUGGGGGUCGAAAUGGAGGAAACCCCACUGAGAUGCUCAAAUGUAAAACCGCUGAAGAAUAAAGGGACAAAUGUACACAUCUGUCUAAAUGAAAAAAAUGAAAAUCCUGGCCGCAAAAACACAUACAUUAACGUCUAAAGACCUGCAGGGAAGACAAGACUUUUCCGCCUGGGACACAUGAAAGACAUCGAGCUAAUUUCCUUAAUAAAUGAAGAGCUCUUGGAAACCAACGAGAUAAAGACCAAACCAAGACAGAAAAAUGGGCAAAAGGGAUAAAACUGGCAAUUCGCAAGAAAAUCCAAACGGCUGGCCGACCUGCGAAGGAAACAUCACGACCUGUUUGCAUAAAGAAAUGCAAACCUGAAACACCGGGCACGUGCGGUUUAGGGGAGCGGGCAGUCUCACACACUACUGAGUUGUUUCCCAGCAGCCGUCAAUACAGACCUUCCACUGCGUAAGCCCACUGCAUUGCCAUUUAAUAAAACAGCAAGAAAAUGAGAGAGAAAAAUAAUGAGGUAGAAUUGUAUGGGAUUAUUAAGGAUUGAAUUCUCAGUAGAUUUAGUGAAAUAUACAAGUUACUGAAGUUUGUAGAAACGAACUGGGCUCCUUUUAUGUCAGGAGAGUCCAAAUCCAGUACCUGUUUGCCACAAUGAGCCUGGGACCUCAACAUGCAUGGAGUGCUUCCGGACCUCAUUACCCAAGAGCAGUCAGAUUUUUAAUUUCCUCUGCCUUUUUCAAGAUCAUUAGUUCAGAAGGUUUAUGUUUUCAAUUCCACAUAUCCUUGCAUUUUUCUUUCAAGUUUUGACCCAUAUGGAUAUCUUAAAUAUUCCUAUUAUUGCAAGUUUAUAUUAAAAGGAGGUUAAAUUGUGAACUCACAAACUCAUAGCAUCAUAGCACCAUCUCAAUCAAAAGUAUUAUCUUCUGUGAACUACAACAGUUUUCACUUCUUUCGCAAGUGUGGAGUGACGUUUGCCUGAGGCUGUAUGACCUGUGAUAUCAUGACAAAUUGAAGGCCAAAGCAGAUGCGAAUCCAGCUGUUUUCUAUUAAGUCAAAUGCCAAGGAGAUUUACAAAGAUGUAAAAUAAUGCGCCUCUUCUCAAUAACCUUUGGUUUUGAAAAUUGUUAUUUUUCAUAAAAAAUGUUGCUUCCAUUAACCUGUAAUAGGUUUACUACCAUUAUUUUAAAUAAAAUACACAUUUCAAAUGGCUUAAUUUUUUCUUAAGAUAUAAUUGAUAAGUAAAAAUUGUAUAUAUAGUGUACAACAUGGUGUUUCAAUAUACAUAUACAUUGUAAAAGGAUAUCAAGCUAAUUAACAUAUCUAUCACCUCACUAUUUUUGUGUGUGAAGAACACUUAAGAUCUACUCUGUUAGCAAUUUUCAAGUAUAAACUAUAGUCACCAUACUGUGCAACAGAUCACCAGGACUUUUUAAUCCCAUCUAACCGAAAUUUUGCACCCUUUGGCCAACAUCAGCUCAUCUCCUCUGACCCCUGACAACCACCAUUCUACUCUCUACUUGUAUGAGUUCAACUUUUUUAGAUUCCAAAUAUAAAUGAGAUCAUGCAGUGUUUGUCUUACCGUAAUGUCCUCCAGGUUUAUCCAUGUUGUCAUAAGUGACAGCAUUUCCUUCUUUUUAAAGGCUGGAAAAGUAUGCCAUUGUACAUAUAUUCAUUUUAUUUAUCCAUUCAUCAAUCCAUGGACAAUUAGGUUGAUUCCACAUCUUGGCUAAUGUGAAUAAUGCUGCAAUGAACAUAGAAGUGUAUACUGAUUUUGUUUAGAUAUGUAGCCAGAAGUGAGAUUGCUGGGUCAUACGGUAGUUUUACUUUUUUUAAAUGAAUUUCCAUACUGUUUUCCAUAAUGGCUAUAUUAAUUUACGUUCCCACCAACAAUGUACACAGGUUCCCUUUCUCCAUAUCUUUGCCAACACUUGAAGCUUUUUAGUUUGAUUCAAUCCCUUUUGUCUAUUUUUGCUUUUUCUGCCUGUGCUUUUAAAGUCUUAUCCAAAAAUCAUUGGUCAGACCAAUGACAAGAAGUUUCUUCCGUUACGUUUUCUCCCAUUAGUUUCACAGUUUCAGCUCUUAAGUCUUUAAUCCAUUUUGAGUUGAUUUUGUAAUAUGGUGUGUCUAAUUUCAUUCCUUCAUAUAUGGAUAUCUAGUUUUCCCCACCCACUUAUUUAAAAAAAAGUCCUUUCCCUGUUGUGUGUUCUUGACACUUUUGUCAAAGAUUGACUGACUAUAAAUUACGGGAUCUAUUUCUGGGCUAUUUUGUUCUAUUGGUCUCUAUGUCUGGUUUUAUGCCAGUAUCAUGCUGUUUUUAUUACUGUAGCUUUAUACUCAAUUUUGAAAUCAGGUAGUGUGAUGCCUUUCCAGCUUUGUUCUUUUUGCUGAAAGUUUGGUUAUUUGGGGUAUUCUGUGGUUUCUUAUGAGUUUUAGGAGUAUUUUUCUAUUUCUGUGAAAAAUGACACUGGAAUUUUUUUAUGGAAAUUGCGCUGAAUCUACACAUCACUUUGGGUAGUAUGGAGAUUUUAACAAUAGUUUCUAAUCCAUGAACACCAGAUAUUUUUCUAUUUGUGUCUUCAACUUCUUUCAUCAAAGUCUUAUAGUUUUCAGUGAACAG
This 2683-nucleotide long non-coding RNA is filed under the name Homo sapiens (human). Its description in RNAcentral is "non-protein coding MIMT1:9". The stretch from base 1 to 75 matches the Rfam family "MER1 repeat containing imprinted transcript 1 conserved region 1", at positions 14 to 88 of the family's 88-position model. The record is from RNAcentral. Lineage: Eukaryota; Metazoa; Chordata; Mammalia; Primates; Hominidae.